This 408-nucleotide ribosomal RNA is filed under the name uncultured bacterium. RNAcentral's name for it is "partial 16S ribosomal RNA". It matches the Rfam family "Bacterial small subunit ribosomal RNA", at positions 29 to 526 of the family's 1533-position model. The record is from RNAcentral.
AGUGAACGCUGGCGGCGUGCCUAAUACAUGCAAGUCUAACGCAGUGGCGCACGUGUGAGUCAUAUAUUGUUAAUCUGCCCUUCACAGAGGACCAGCAGUUGGAAAUGUCUGCUAAUACCUCAUAGUGUAGGAUGAGUCUUUAUCGUAUCAGCUCGUUGGUAAGGUAAUGGCUUACCAAGGCUAUGACGCAUAACUGGUCUGAGAGGAUGAUCAGUCAGGUUGGAACUGAGACACGGUACAAGCUCCUACGGGAGGCGGCAGUAAGGAAUAUUGCGCAAUGGGGGAAACCCUGACGCAGCAGCGCCGCGUGGAGGAUGACACUUUUCGGAGCGUAAACUCCUUUUAUCAGGAAAGCGGUACCUGAUGAAUAAGCACCGGCUAACUCCGUGCCAGCAGCCGCGGUAAUAC